GGGCGAUGAUGAUUUCCAGGUCUCGUUCGUCGUAACGGUGAAUCUGCCUUGCCGACCAUCCUGAUAUAUCACCACCCAUAUUCUGAGUCC
This is a small nucleolar RNA of Dendrobium catenatum, 90 nucleotides long. RefSeq annotates it as small nucleolar RNA Z43. The record is from RefSeq and is a predicted model, not a curated record. The transcript has a single exon. NCBI's taxonomy places the organism in Eukaryota, Viridiplantae, Streptophyta, Magnoliopsida, Asparagales, Orchidaceae.